AGGCUACAACAAUCAUGAGUGCUCAUAAGUUCUGAGCAUUGGACUCAACCCACGCUCACUGGAAUCACUUCAUGGAAUUCUAUCUCGAGUGAUCGUGAGACGGUAAUAUCAUAUAAGUCUUCAAACCUAGAGAUAUGAUUUGUUACUUACAAGUUGGUUAUGCAUUGACUGUACGAAACCGCAUUGGUAACUCGAUGUUAUAAAACGUACUUUUGUGUGUAAUUCAAUGAGUGGUAGAACAAACAUAUGAGUCGAAGUUUAUCUGUUCCUUCUUGGAUUAGAAGCUGAUAUCUGGGCCCCUCGAUGAUUUUGUUUUGACCCAUGUACCGGGCCCGGUCAGAACUAAGUUGAUGUGUUCAAUUAAGUUCUAUGUCAAACAAAUCGGAAAUCGGGAAACAAAUGCUGGACAAUAAGCAAGACAAUGUUCCAUGUAUUUGUCCGGCUGAUAUCUAGAACGGAGGAUUAUAUGAUCACUUAUCUUAAAUGGCGUACCAUCAUCUUCUCAGUUCCGAGAGACCUUGAAAGAGCUACGAUUGCCGGUCGGUUCCUGAAGUACUAGAGAUAUAGUUAUUAGACUUAUCCAAGUGGGAGACUGUUGGAUAAGGUGUCUAAGUCCAUAACUAUUUCGGGCUUGUACUUGACCCGACCCGGCAUGGUCCAUUUGGGUUGCAUGGCACCAUGCAAUUGGAUAGACUAAAUGAGAGAAAUAACACUUGGAGAUUAUUAAUAUAUUAUAAGUUCUAAUAUAUUAAUAAUAUUAUUUGAUUAGUUGAUCAAAGAAUUAAUUUGGAAUUAAUUAAGUGAUCAAAGGAUAACUAAUUAAAUAUAUGGGUUGAUUAUGUAAAUCAUCCAUAUCUUGUAUAGUGGGCUAAGAGGCUCCAUGGAUUAUCAAGUUGGGUUCUACCCAUAGGAUGCUCCAUGGAUGCUCCAUGGGAGUUACAAACCCAUGGGUCAUGGAAAUGAAGAGUCAUGACACAUUAGGGUUUACAUGGUGUAACCCUAGAUGUGUCAACACUAUAUAAGAAUCAUAUUCUCCACCAAAAUCGGCUACACUAAGAAACUAGAGGGCUUGGCCGAUUUUGAGAAGUGUGUGUUAUCUCAAGAGUCUUUCCAAGAGCAUUUGGUGUUGUGUGAAGCAUUUGAGGCAUCACACUUGGGGUGCUAGGCUCACAAGGUUUCAAGGAACACAAGCAACAACAAGGUAAGUUAUUCUAUCUAUGAUUCAAGUUAAAAUUGUUCCCCAUGUAUGCUAGAUAGGAAUAUAACCUUGGAAUUCAACUUUGCAUGAUAAUUAGACAAACAUAGAUCCAAGGUUAUUAGGGUUGCAUGUACACUUAGGAAGUGUUAGAAUGCUCAAAACCUAUCAAGAAGGUACCGACAAGCGGAUAUUUGUUUGUUAUUUGUGCUUAAAAGUUGAAGAAAGUCGAAAAUCUUGCUGUCUGACUGAUGGACUCGGCGAGUCCAUGGGGAGGACUCGACGAGUUCAUGUGUAUCUUCAACCUACUCGGCGAGUAGGUUUAUGCACUCGGCGAGUAGGGUCGACAGAGUGCAGAAUUUCGACUUGUGUUGCUGGAAAUGGAUUAGAANUCAAAAAAAUCCAAAAAUAUUUUUGUUUCUGUUUUUAUUUUUCCAGAAAAUAUCAAAAAUCCAAAAAUAUUUUUUUUGUGUGCUAAUUUUUCUUUUAGUUUUGUUUUAUCUUCAAAAGUGAUUUCAGGUGUAGAUGAGACUCGUGGAGACUGUAUUGAAGAUUUUCUUAGCCAAGGCUUCAUCCGUGAGCAUCGGAGAAUUUUCAUUCGAAGGAGCAAGAAAUGAAGACUAUUCUUCCAUCAUUCAAUCUUUCAACCUCAGAAGCAAGGUGAAGCUGUUCUUGAAGAUUAUGUGACAGAUUGCAUUGAAGCCUCCUCAAUCAAUUUGCUGCUAUCUAUGAACCUACUGAAGUGAUCCAAAAGAUUAUUUCUCUUUGAUGUUCUCCCUGAAGAUUCUCAAGCUGAAAGAGUUGUCUUUCAAGAAUCUUUUCAAGAAGCCUCCUCACCCAACAUGCGUUCAAUGUCAAAUUUUGAAGAAAAACCCAACCGCUCAAGAUGAAUUCAUUUAUUGAAGAUUCAUAUGUUCAUCUUGAUGCUGUGAAGAAAUUUGAAGAUUAAUGCUGAAGCCAAGCUCCCAAUGAAGAUUAACAAGAAAAAGCCAGCUACUUUUUAGAGGGGGUUUGUUGGGUCAUUUAGAAAAGAAAGCUAUAAACCAAGGGGGAGAUUGUUGGGUCAAAAUAUGGUUUAUACUUUGCUUUUCUAGGAAAAUAUAUUUUUAUGUAAUGUUGUAUGUGUUUGCGGUUUGUGUGUACGGCCGUACACAUUUGUACGGCCGCACACCCUGUGUACGGCCGGACACAGGGUGUGCGGCUGUACAGAUGUGUAUGGCUGGAGGUCCAUAUAAAUAGAGGAGUGCAUGUGGGAGUGUACGGUUGGAAAAAGAGGAAUAAGUAGAGGAGAAGAGAAAAACUUGUAGAGAGAGAAAGCUAGAGAGAAGAAGUGUGUGUGUGAGAGAAUCUAUUGUAAGGAGCAUAAUUCAUAUCAUCAAUACAUCAUUAGAUUCAUCUUAAUUCUUUUUCUCCUCUUCUAUUUGAUCUGAUAUCAUCCAAUUGAUUGGGAUUCCGCACCAUCAAUUGGAACUGAUUGAUACACAAGCAAUUUUGGGGACUUACUAUAUAUAUAUAUAUAUAUAUAUAUAUAUAUAUAUAUAUAUAUAUAUAUAUAUAUAUAUAUAUAUACACACACACACACAUUAUAUGUGUGUGCGCAUUUGUGUGCAUAUGAACAAAGAAUUCAAUGAAUUGUGGUGUUAGAUGAUAUCUUAUUAAAUAGGAAUAAAGAAUGCAUUUAUAAUUAUUAAUUACUUAUCAGAAGUAGUUGGGGAUUGAUAAUUAAUUUUUGGUAAGUCCAUGAGAAGACGCGUUCUUAAUUUUAUUUAUAUUUAUUGACAAGUGUUAAAAACAAGAGGGUAGGUAUUCAUGAAUGGGGAUGGUGAGAUAGAAGUGAUGAUAUAUUAAGAUCCAUGCAUGAGAUUUGUUUGCUUUUCCCCAUUUUGACCUAAGUUGAGCUAUAAGUUUGCAUAAGGCAUGCAUCACUAAAAUGUUGGAUUAGUGUCUAAGUCCAUAAUUAUAAUUGGUAUGUACUUGACCCGAUUGGCAUGGUCCAUUUGGGUUGCAUGGCAUCGGAACAAUUUGGAUAGACUUUUGUGAAAAAAGGAUAAUUAUGAUUUGUUAAUAUAUUAUAAGUUCUAAUAUAUUAAUAUGAAAUCACAUUAUUUUAUUAGUAUUGAUCAAGAAUUAAUUUGGAAUUAAUAUUGUCAUCAAAAGGAGACUAGUUAUAGAGAAAAGAUAGAUCUAAGGUAUUUAGGGUUGCAUGUACACCAUAUGAGUGUUAGAAUGCUCAAAACCCUUCAGUGGUAUCAGAGCCUAGGCUUGUUUUCAUUUAUACUUGAUGCAAACUUAUUUUUCAAAACCAAAAUCUGCACAGACUGGAAAACUCGACGAGUUCUGGCCAAAAACUCGCCGAGUUCAUGUGUUAAGGCAUGAAUUCGACGAGUUCCUUGAAGAACUCGGCGAGUUAAGCUUCCAGUUUGCAGAUUUUCAUGUUUUUUUUUGCUGGAAUUGGACUAGGUACAUUACCCUAAGCUGUUUUUGAACUUGUAAACCUAUUUUUGAUGUGGUAAUGUUCAUGCUAAUCCAAUUUCAUAUAUAAUUGUCAAUAGAUUCAUGUUUUGUAUUAGUUUAAUGGUUAGGCUAAUUACAUGAAAAGUGUUUGAUUUGAAUUAUCUUGUUCUUAUGAGUUGAUUUAGAUUAAUAGAAAAGUUAUGUGAUAAUAUGUUUUCAAUCCAAAUUGAUCUAAAAGUUGUUCAUAAAAUGUGUUUUUGUAACUUGUCCUCAAGUAAUAUGAAAAGUCACAUUUAUGAUUAUUAAAACUCAUAAGAUUUCCAUAAGUUAUGAAAAAUGGAGAGUCUCAUUUUUAAAUGUUAUAAAGUCUUCCAUAACUUGUGCUCAAGUUAUGGAACUUGAAGAGAUUUUCAUUGAAANUAUAUAUAUAUGUAUGUAUAAGAACAAAGUCAGUCUUACCGUUAGUAGGCCUCAUUCACGAAGCCUAUCUAUAAGAGGGGUAUAAGGUUACUGCCUAUAAAACGGCAGUUUAAUGGUCGUUAGCCGAACGGGUAGGACAAGUACCAGAAUGCUCCCUUCAUUAAAAGUAUUAAUGAUAAAUACUAAGUAACUAAACUAUUAUAAAUUCCCAAUCUGAGUUAGAACAAAGUCAGUCUUACCGUUAGUAGGCCUCAUUCACGAAGCCUAUCUAUAAGAGGGGUAUAAGGUUACUGCCUAUAAAACGGCAGUUUAAUGGUCGUUAGCCGAACGGGUAGGACAAGUACCAGAAUGCUCCCUUCAUUAAAAGUAUUAAUGAUAAAUACUAAGUAACUAAACUAUUAUAAAUUCCCAAUCUGAGUUACUUUAGGAAAAUGUGAAUUUGGUGCUAACCCAUGAAAUUACACUUUGCACUUUGCUUAAGUCAGUUAGUGGAGCGUGUGUCUGGCACACUAGCUUCAUUUAACAAGGUAUACAAAGGGUAACUUAAUGUUUAUCAUAGUAUCGGUGGAGCGUGUCUGGUUAUCCGACACACCGAUUGAGGGGUAAAUAUUAAGGGUACCAAGUAUAUUAGCAUGGUUAUUCACACCUUGUUUUGUGAUCCUCGGCAUCCGAGUCACAAAAUUUUAGAGGCCACAAUCGAUGAUUCUUCUCACUAUAUUACUUGCCUUCACCAUCUGAGGACAUUGUGUUUUAGCUACUAUUUGCGAGGUGAGUCUUCUCACACUAUUACUUUUUUAGUAGUGUAUGCAAGUUGACCAAAUGAGUCUUGCUUGUUGAUAUGUUUUAUGUAACUGUGUUGCUGAUAUUUCUUCAACAGCUAUGAGUCCAUGUGACUGCUGUUAGUCCCCAAGGUUGCUGAUAACCCUGAAAUGUGUUGUCAAUCCACAUGGUUGCUGAUAACCCAUAAUUGUUUAUUUUGUUGAGCUAUAUGUGAUAUUUUGGGAGCUCACUAAGCUACAUGGUUACAGAUAUGGAUUAAAUGUGUUUCAGGUACUUCAGAUGAUCGUAGGAAGGCGAAGGCUUGACUGUACACUCUGGCUUGAAGAUUUUAUUACUUUCUGCAUUUUAAUACUCUUAUUUAGGACGAUUGUAUUUGAUUCACUUGGGAUUUUUAAAAUAUUUGACGUUUCCACUAUUUAAAAAUGAAAUUUUUUGUGAUAAAAAUCAGCGUGUUACAAUGGGGUUACUAAUUACUGAUGAAACAAUUACAAGCCUAAAUCAAUAUUUUGUAGAUUUAUCAUGGUUAGAAGGAGAUUAGAAAACGACAAAACUGAUUCAAAUUCAACAUCUAAGCUUUGUUGGAAGACUAUAGAUGAUAAUUUAGAACUUUUGUUGGAAAACCUUUUAUGAUAAUUGUGUUUGGGAGUUCCCUUGUUGGCUUCUUGGAGAAGGUAGGUAUUUCUUACUAUUUGUGGUGGGAAAAGCUAAAAAGUCAAUAUGUUAGAGGGGUAUAAAGGUAAAUUUAUGUUUAAAAGGCCAAUAAUCCAAUAUAUGAGUUUUUAAAUGUGGAGUAUGUAUAUGGAGGGAAUGAAAAUUUUGGAAAAAUUUGAUUCCCUUUAUAUUUUGGGACUUGGAGGAAAUUAAAAUAUUAUUAUUUAUAAUUAGUAUUUUCGUCAAGAAAUAUGUGACUUUUUUAAACUCACUUUUUCCCCUUGCAUAAAAAGAGAUUUCUAAAGUACCCAAACACUUUCUUAACUUAUUGGCUUUUUUAAAAGCUCAGAAAUUAAUUGAAGGGUUUUGUUGCAUAAAAUAAAUAGUUUUGCACAAAAACGGCAACGGAAGCUUUAAAAACAAUUUCCAAGUGUGACAACCAAACAAACCAUCAAGGAUCCUUUUAAAUAGGUUAGAAUUAUAUUAGAACGACCAUAGGGUGUUUAGAAAUAACAAACUUUGUAGCCUUUAGACCCUCUUAGAUUUGAGGUGUUGAAGUAGAUGGCAAGAACAAGAAGCUUGAUCUUCUGUACAAGUAAUCCACCAACAAGAAUAAGGUACCAAAAUUGCUAGAUUUCUUCUUUUACAACUUUGUUCUUUAAACCUUUAGUGCUUAAUCAAUUAAGCACUAGAAGGAAGACACAAAGUAAACACUAAAAGCAAGUAAUGUCUUCAAAAGAGGAAAGAGCUUCAAGCUCUUAGAUGCUCACAAUUUUGAGAGAAAGGAAGAAUAAGUUUUUAGGCCAAAAAACUUGCAUUCUCUCCAUGUAUAAGACCCUCAAUUUAUAACCCCAUCCAAGCAUGGCCUCUUGAAUAUAAUAUUCAAAAUUAUGGGAUAUAAAGGAGAGGCAUGGGGAACAUUAUGAUAGACGUUGACAAGCAACCUCCAUACUCUUACAACUUUCGGCCAUAUGGCCUAAAAUAUAUAAAUAAUGUUCACUAGUCUUUUAACCAUGGUAGAGUAAGCAUUUGAUUUAAUCAUGGUUAACCAAAGUGUCCAAAACUUUGUACAUGACUUAUUAUAUGAUACCUUAUCAUAUAAAGACUAUUUUUCCUACUUAUUAAAAUAUUUUUUUUUCAUAGAACAAUAAUUUUUCUCUAAUUAAAUACAAGAGUUGAAUUUAUUUAUUAAUAAAAAAUUACUUAAUAAUAUUCAAUAAGUACCAACUUGAUUAAGGUGUGACCCUAUAGGAUCAUAUGUUAUUAGCAACAUCACUCAAUAAUGAUUCUUGAGCAUAGAAAUACAACAUUAAUAAGUCCAUUUAAAGAAGCACUUUCAAGUUCUGUUUUUAAUAUUUAAGACCGAAAACUUUAAUCUAUUUCCAAUCUACAUAACAACGACUGAUGGAUAAAAUAUAUCUCAAAAGAUGGCCAUGAUAUUCAUUAAGAAAAUGAAAUUUUGAUAUAAUUCCAUUUAAAGAAGCACUCCCAAGUUCUGUUUUUAACAUUUAAGAGCCAAAACUUUAUUAUAUUUCCAUUCUACAUAACAACGACUGAUGGACAAAACAUAUCUCAAAAUAUGGUCAUGAUAUUCAUUAUGAAAACGAAUAAUGAUAAAUAAAAUUACAUUUCAUACAAAAAAGGUACACAAAAUACAUCUUCAUUACAUCAUCAAAGUAAAAUUACUACAUUCACAUAUGAUAUAUUGGAUGGGUUUUGAGCAUAACAACAAUUCCUAAGUGUGCAUGCAACGCUAAUGCUUUGAAUCUAGCUUUUCUUUAAUCAAACAUGCAAACUUGAACACAAAAGGAGAAACCCUAGGAAGUGUAUACAAUUUUUUAAAUUCACAUAGAACUAGGCUUAGGUUACAUACCUUGAUUGUUAUAUUGUAAUAACAAUGAAUCCCUUGUAGAUCUUGAAGCUUGAGAACCUAGUGUUACAAGUGUAACACCUCUAAUGGCUCAGAAACACACAAUGCAAGAGAAUGAUAUGAGAGAGGAGGAGGUGAUCAAAUUUUUGGCUAUGGCUUCUUCCAAAGAGUGGCCGAAAAUCAUAGCCCUAAGGGUUCUUUACAUAGUACACCAAGGAUGCUAUGGAUUAGCCCUAAUUUUAAAAAUGGUAAUUAUCCACCUCCUUUAAUUAUCCAUAUAUGAUAAGAUAUUCAAGAAAGUCUAGAAUAAUCUUACAUAUAUCAUCAUAAAACUGUCCACUCUUCCUUAGGAAAGUUAUGGACCCUUUUGCUCAACUGUUGAAUAUUUACAUUUGUAGUCCCUACACUAUUAAUUAAUUCCUUUAAUCCCAAAAUCAAUUCCAACUUAAUUUCUCAUUAAAUAUUAGCUAAUAACAUGAUUACUAAUUAAUAUAUUAUUUCCAUAACAUAUUAAUAAAUCAUUAAUUCCAAUUUAGUAAUCAAAUUAAUAAAUUCUUUCUCUUCCUUAAUUAAUCAUCCUGUCUAGUUACAUAUGUAAAGGCAACCCAAAAGGACCAUGCCACUAUCAAUUUAAGUACAUAACAAUUAUAGUUAUGGUCUUAGACACCUAAUCCAACAGUCUCCCACAUGGAUAAGUCUAAUAACUAUAAUUGCAAAUAUGACUUCAAAAACUGAUAAGCAAUCGUGGCUCUCAUAACUUUUAUCAAACUAUGACCAAGUCAGUUGCGACUCCUAAGAUAAGGGAUCAUAUAAUCCUCCGUUCUGCAAUUUAUCAUGUGAACAAAUGACAUGGAACAAAAUUAUUCUCAUUUUUCAACAGUUUGUUUCCCGAUUUCUGAUUUGUAAUGACAAAGAACUUAAUUGAAAACAUCAAUUCAGUCUUGACCGGGCCCGACACAUAAGUCAACACCAAAUCAUAGGGGGGCCCAAGAUAUCGCUUUUCCCCCUAAGGGAAAAAGGAACAUAUUAACUUUAACUUAUAUGCUUGCACUAUUUACUCAUCAAAAUAUGCACAACAACACAUUUUAUAACACCAAGUUACUGAUGUGUUUACGCAUUAUUAAUGCACAACCAUCUCGUAAACAACAACUCGUAUAUCUCGGUUUAAAGAUUAUAUGAUAUUAUCGUCUCAGAAUUACUUGUGAUAAAUUCCAUGAAGUAAUUAACUGAGCAUGGGUUUAAUCCAAUACUUAAAUCCUUAUUUCAAAAGAAUUCAUGAAUUUUGCCACAAACCGUUACUAUGUCUUAACACGUAGACAAUCUACAAUCCAAUUCAUGACAGACUUAAUUCACUACUUACUUCCAAAGUAUGAUCGACUGUGGAUUUUUGAAUAAUCCAAUUAUUUGAGAAGUAAAACAUGCGAAAGAAACACAAAGUUAAACAAUUGACAAAAGAUAAUAAAUGAUAAUCAUAAAUAAAUCUGUAUUAUUUAAUCAUCAAAUGUCAAUUACAUUUAUUUAUUACGAGUUUCUAAAUAACUAUCUAAUCACUAAAACUAAUAUCAUCCUUCAGACCAAUGCUCCUUACAUCCUGAACUUGCUUAAUCCUACUUAGAACCUUUGUGAGGGGAUCUACAAGAUUCUCCUCUGAUGAUACCCUCUUAAGAAUAAGGCUUCCUUCUUCUACACGAUGUCUGAUAAAGUGAUAUUUUCUGUCGAUAUAUCUUGAUCUACCUUGAUCUCUUGGUUCCUUGGUCAAGGCAACCGCUCCUUCUUCAUCGCAGAAAAUUUCCAUCGGCUCCUUAAUGGCUGGCACUACUCCAAGAUCUCCAAUGAAGUUUUUCAACCAUAUAGCCUCCUUCGAUGCUUCACUCGCGGAAAUAUACUCUGACUCAUAAGUAGAAUCAGCCACGGUCUCCUGCUUGGAACUUUUCCAAGUCACUACUCCUCCAUUAAGGGUAAACACCCAACAUGACUGAGAAUAGAAGUUGUCUAUGUCUGUCUAAAAGUUGGCAUCACUAUACCUAGUAACUCUUAAGUCAUUACUACCACCAAGCACAAGGACCUAGUCCUUAUUUCAUCGUAGAUACUUAAGUAUGUUCUUAACUUCCAUCCAAUGAGCUUUGCCCGAAUUUCCUUGAUAUCGACUAACCCUGCUCAAAGCAAAAGCCACGUCAGGAUGAGUAUAUUUCAUAACAUACAUGAUCGAUCCAACGGUCGAAGUAUAUGGGACUCGACUCAUUUAUGCUAUCUCAACAUCGGUAGUUGGAUUCUGAUUCUUACUCAGCUUGGUAUUACUUUGGAUAGGUAACUCCCCUUUCUUUGAAUUUUCCAUUCUAAAACGCUUUAGAACCUUAUCCAAAUACGAACUUUGACUUAGUCCAGUUAAUCUUCUACGCCUAUUUCUUAAAAUCCUUAUUCCUGUAAUAUAAGCAUACUCUCCCAGAUCCAUCAUAGCGAAACACUUUCCAAGCCAGGACUUAACUUCUUGCAAGGUUGGAAUGUCAUUUCCUAUAAGUAGUAUGUCAUCAACAUACAGUACCAGGAAGGUGAUUAUACUCCUACUAGCUUUUACAUACACACAAGACUCAUCCUCACUUCUAGAGAAACCAAACUCUUUGACUUUCUCAUAAAAGCAAAGAUUCCACCUGCGAGAAGCUUGUUUCAUUCCAUAGAUUGAUUUCUCAAUCUAACACACUCUAUUGGGGUAUUCAACAUCUAUAAAACCCUCUGGCUGACUCAUUUAAACAUCCUAAGCCAACUUUCAAUAAAUAAAGCGGUUUUGACAUCCAUCUGCCAAAUUUCAUAGUCAUGAAAUGCAACUAUGGCUAACAUUACCCUAAUAGAUUUGAUCGUAACCACCGGUCAGAAGGUAUGGGGUUUAAGUAAAGCUCUUCGCAACCAAUCGGACCUUGAAGGUGUGCACCUUUCCUUCCAUGUCGAUCUUCUUCUUGAAGAUCCAUUUGCACCCAAUUGUCUUUCGACGUGGUACAUUGUCAACCAAGUUCCAAACUUGAUUGUCAUACAUAGACUGGAUCUCACUGUCCUUUACCACUUUCCAUUUAGCAGACUAAGGGCCUGCCAUGGAUUCCUGGUAGUUAGGAGGUUUGUCCAAAUUUACCAAUGUACUAUCACUGAUAAACGUAUCACCAUCCGUAGUUAUAUGAAAACCAUAAAAAUCAGGUGUCAUUCUAACUUGAGUGAAAUUUCUAAGAGGUAAUGACUCGUCAAUAGGUUAAACAUGAAUUUCUUCCUUGGUUUGAGUGCUACUGUUAGAGGUUCCUGCAUCACUACACUCUUGAAUUUCCUCAAGAUCAAAUGCACUCCCAUUGUCCUCUUUGCAUAUGAGAUCUCUCUCUCUCUCUCAAAAGACUCCUCUUCUUGCUACAAAUACCACGUCUUCACAAGGUCUGCAGAACAAGUAUCCAAAGGACUUCUGUGGAUAGUCGAUGAAAAUACAUCGCUCACUUCGAGGUUCAAGCUUGUCAUGAGUCUCUCUUCUAACGAAAGUUUCACAACCCCAAACCUUGAUAUGUGCCAACGAGGGAACCUUCCAUGUCCACAUCUCGUGAGGUGUUUUAGCAACCUUCUUUGUGGGAACAAGAUUGUAACAUCCCGUUUUAAGUAGAGUAAUUAAAUAAUAAAUCAGGAACCCUGAGAAGUAAUUAUUAUGAUUAUUUUAUACUAUUAUAGUCCAAAAUCAAUUAGUAAUUAUUGGAAUGUUAGUUUCAGGGGCUAAAGAAUAAUAUUGGACUUAAUUUGAAAGAAUAUUGAAUGACUGGGGUUAAAAGAGUAAAAUUUGGACCUAUGUUGAAAGGAUUUGUUGAGUGAGGGGUUGUUGUGUAAAUUACGGAUUAGAUUUGAAAAAGAUUCUUGAAGCCAGGGUAGAAAUGGUAACAUUUGGAUUAAAUUUGAAAGAAAGGAAGAUGGAGGGGCUAAUCUUGUAAUUAUGGGAAAAUGUCUAUGAGGGGCGGGGUAUUUAAACGUUACCCACCCGAUAACCCUAACCCUAUAUGCCCCAAACCUCCAGCCGCCAACUUCACUAUCCUUAUACCCCCUCUCCAGCCGUCGUUAAUGGUGAACCACUGCAAGCUCGGAUCCAUUGCUGCAUCGCUGACGUCGAAGCCAGAAGCCACCAAGCCAAGAGUCGGUCGCCAUCUUUGCCGCCAGCCACCCCGCUGUCGAGGUCACUGUCACACCCCCAAACCUGAACGGCGGAAUCGUUCGGGGGCGGNNNNNNNNNNNNNNNNNNNNNNNNNNNNNNNNNNNNNNNNNNNNNNNNNNNNNNNNNNNNNNNNNNNNNNNNNNNNNNNNNNNNNNNNNNNNNNNNNNNNCAAGACUCGGUUUAUAAUGCCCGGGAUAACGGGUUGUUACAGUCACAACCCACCGAAUGAACACCAACUGGGGAAAAUUCCGUCGUGUGGAACCGUAUGACCACCAGAGCGCUGUCGUAUCUUACGUUCCAGCCGCCACCUCCUCCUUUGCUUCUUCCCGUAGCUACCGCUGCAAACCACCGUGAGGAACAACCGAAUUCGAGUUUGUUGUCGGGGGUGUGCGUUUGUCACUGUUGUUAGUCUAAGUAAGCGUGUAUGUGUUCGAUUGGCUAGAAAAACCCGAGGAAACCACCAUGGCUGCCGGCCAUGGUGGCUGUUACCUAAAGGACCGCCAUAGCGAUUGUGNCGCCGCCGCCUUACGCCACCAGGUGGGUGGGUGGACACCUUCUUCAAACAGAAGAGACUUGUGUGUGUGCGUGCUUUCAUGAUAGUGAAGUGGUGUUAGGUGUUAGUUGGCCGGAAAAAUCCACUACCACCAUCGUGAGGUGGUGGCUGCCACCAUGAACCACCACCGGCCACCACAAGGGUGGCUUUGUGUGUGUAUUAUAUUAUGUGUGUGUGUGUCGUUUAUAUAAUGUUGUAAAUUUUACUAUAUUUCGUAUAGGAAUAAUGAAAGAAAAGUCUAAACCACCACCGUAGGGUGGUGGUUGCCUUCACCGGCCGCUGUGUCGGGUGGCGGUGUGCUUUGAUUGCGUUUGGACCUCGUUUGGGAUGAUUGGACAAGAAUGCGCCCAAUGAAACCCUAAUAGGCCCAAUAAGGCCCAAUGUGACCUACAAGCCCAACCAAUAGACUAAUGGGCUAGUAUUGGGUUGGAAAACCCUAAUUAGGGUUUAGAAAACCCUAUAAGCAUAAAACACUAAUUGUGGGAAUUGUUUGGGACACACACGAGAAUUAAUUAUUAAACCUAAAAUAAUAAUUAAUAAUCAUUGGCAAACUAGCUUAUGGCAAUAAUGGACUUAAUAGGUUAAGUCCUUAAUGGGUUAAGUAAGAAACACUUAACCCUAAUCAUCAUUUCAUGUGAAAACCCUAAUUUCAUAUAGGCCUUGAAUUAGGCCUUCCUUUUGGGUUUUGGCGAUUGGACUAUUGAUGGGCCAUCCAAGAACAAGUUAAUGGACCAAAGUAAUUAGAUGAGCCUUAGGAUAAGGCCCAUGUGAGGACUUGGGCCCAAAUUGGAAAAAUGGGCCAUAGAUGGGCCAUAAUUGGACCUUUAUGACUAUGUGAUAAUGGGCCAUUGGAAUUGGAUUGGAACAAUCGGAUGGGCCUUAUGGAAAGACCAUGCAGAGGUCUCGUCCCAAUUUCGAAAAUUAGGCCAUAUAUUUGGCUUUGGCCCAUUACUUGACUUUUGGCUCUUGUAGUGUAAGUUCGACCUUAGGCUUGGAACCCAAUUAUUAAUUGGGUAUUGUCUGAUGUUAACAGUACGGGACCUGUCAACCAGCAGUGGGAGUUUUAUCUACGGGGCUUCAGCAGUGCCAGGUGAGUUAUCCUCACUAUAUUAAGGGUCUCAGGCACUAACGCCGGCCCAUUGGAUUGAUAUCCUAGUAGUUGUUAUGAUAAGUAUAUAACGACCCAAUUUUAACGUCCAAAAAUUUCGUUUUUAGAACAUUUCUUUAGUAAACAUUAAUAAUUAAAAACGUUGUUUGAUCAAACCACAUCAAAACAUAAUCAUGUCUAAAAGCCAAAUCAUACAACCAAUCGAAAUAUCAUAGUACAAUCCCAGAAGAUCUAGUAAAUGCGGAACCCAGAGUGUGUGCAUGAUGUGCCGCUACCGCGCCAGCUCCUUCCCCUUCGAUGAAGAGGUACCUGAAACCAAAACUAUAAAACAUAAGCACAAAGCUUAGUGAGUUCCCCCACUGUACCACAAACCAUACAAACACAUAACAUAUAUACUGCCAGGCUAUUCUGGGGUGCCUGACUACCCGGUACGGCCAUUCUGGGGUGCCGACCUACCCGUGUCAACCCAUCCUGGGGUGCNNNNNNNNNNNNNNNNNNNNNNNNNNNNNNNNNNNNNNNNNNNNNNNNNNNNNNNNNNNNNNNNNNNNNNNNNNNNNNNNNNNNNNNNNNNNNNNNNNNNNNNNNNNNNNNNNNNNNNNNNNNNNNNNNNNNNNNNNNNNNNNNNNNNNNNNNNNNNNNNNNNNNNNNNNNNNNNNNNNNNNNNNNNNNNNNNNNNNNNNNNNNNNNNNNNNNNNNNNNNNNNNNNNNNNNNNNNNNNNNNNNNNNNNNNNNNNNNNNNNNNNNNNNNNNNNNNNNNNNNNNNNNNNNNNNNNNNNNNNNNNNNNNNNNNNNNNNNNNNNNNNNNNNNNNNNNNNNNNNNNNNNNNNNNNNNNNNNNNNNNNNNNNNNNNNNNNNNNNNNNNNNNNNNNNNNNNNNNNNNNNNNNNNNNNNNNNNNNNNNNNNNNNNNNNNNNNNNNNNNNNNNNNNNNNNNNNNNNNNNNNNNNNNNNNNNNNNNNNNNNNNNNNNNNNNNNNNNNNNNNNNNNNNNNNNNNNNNNNNNNNNNNNNNNNNNNNNNNNNNNNNNNNNNNNNNNNNNNNNNNNNNNNNNNNNNNNNNNNNNNNNNNNNNNNNNNNNNNNNNNNNNNNNNNNNNNNNNNNGCUCCAACAGGGGAGUCACCACGGUCAUCCUCAUGCAAACGUCCCUGAUCGGCGCCGCCUUGCGGCUAAGCGCAUCGGCCACCACAUUGGCCUUCCCCGGAUGGUAGAGGAUCUCGCAAUCAUAAUCCUUUACCACGUCCAACCACCGACGCUGCCUCAUAUUCAGAUUCGGCUGAUCCAUGAGGUACCUCAAACUCUUGUGGUCCGUGUAGAUGGUACAUCGAACCCCGUAGAGGUAAUGCCGCCAAAUCUUGAGGGUAAAAACCACCGCCCCCAGCUCCAAAUCAUGCGUAGGGUAGUUUGCCUCGUGAGGCUUGAGCUGCCUCGAAGCGUAGGCAAUGACAUGCCCCAUCUGCAUCAGCACCGCGCCCAACCCUGAAAUGGACGCAUCACAAUAAACCAUGAAAUCCUCUACACCCUCUGGCAGGGCUACGAUCGGCGCCUCGCACAAUCUCUGUCUCAGCGUCUCAAAUGCAGCCUGCUGCUCGGGUCUCCAUCGAAAGACCACGGCUUUCUUCAUCAGUCGCGUCAGGGGUACGACUAUCUUGGAGAAAUCCUGAAUAAAUCUCCGAUAGUAGCCCGCUAAUCCCAGGAAACUCCGAAUCUCAGAUGGAGACUUCGGAACCUCCCAUCUCAUCACGGCCUCGACCUUGGCCGGAUCGACCAGAAUCCCGUUCUGGUUGACAAGGUGUCCAAGAAAUUGCACCUCGCGCAACCAAAACUCACACUUGGAGAACUUGGCAUACAAGCUCUCCCUCCUCAGGGUCUCCAACACCUCUCUCAGAUGCUCCUCAUGUUCCUCCCGAGUCUUGGAAUAAACCAAGAUGUCAUCGAUAAAGACUAUCACAGACCGAUCCAGCAUCGGUCUGCAUACGCGGUUCAUGAGGUCCAUGAACGCGGCAGGAGCAUUGGUGAGCCCAAAUGGCAUCACCACAAACUCAUAGUGGACCAGUCCCAAAUGGAAUCACCACAAACCCAUAGCGCGUCCGAAACGCGGUCUUCUGCGUAUCCUCCUCCCUGACCCUCAUCUGAUGAUAACCCGAACGCAAGUCAAUCUUGGAGAACCAAGAUGCUCCCUGAAGCUGGUCAAAGAGGUCAUCAAUCCUCGGGAGUGGGUAACGGUUCUUCACCGUUACCUUGUUCAGCUCCCGGUAAUCUAUACACAUCCGAUGCGACCCNNNNNNNNNNNNNNNNNNNNNNNNNNNNNNNNNNNNNNNNNNNNNNNNNNNNNNNNNNNNNNNNNNNNNNNNNNNNNNNNNNNNNNNNNNNNNNNNNNNNNNNNNNNNNNNNNNNNNNNNNNNNNNNNNNNNNNNNNNNNNNNNNNNNNNNNNNNNNNNNNNNNNNNNNNNNNNNNNNNNNNNNNNNNNNNNNNNNNNNNNNNNNNNNNNNNNNNNNNNNNNNNNNNNNNNNNNNNNNNNNNNNNNNNNNNNNNNNNNNNNNNNNNNNNNNNNNNNNNNNNNNNNNNNNNNNNNNNNNNNNNNNNNNNNNNNNNNNNNNNNNNNNNNNNNNNNNNNNNNNNNNNNNNNNNNNNNNNNNNNNNNNNNNNNNNNNNNNNNNNNNNNNNNNNNNNNNNNNNNNNNNNNNNNNNNNNNNNNNNNNNNNNNNNNNNNNNNNNNNNNNNNNNNNNNNNNNNNNNNNNNNNNNNNNNNNNNNNNNNNNNNNNNGCCGCACCAGGAACAAGGUCAAUCCUGAACUCCACCUGUCGCUCCGGAGGUAUCCCAGGAAGCUCCUCCGGGAAAACAUCUGCAAAAUCUCGAACCACCGGAACCUCGCUCACUGUCGCCUUACCCGCCUCCCGGGUAUCCAUCACAUACGCGACAUAUCCUGUGCAUCCCUGCUGAAGAUAGCGCCUAGCCCUCGCUGCUCAACAUACAGUGGGUCCACACUGCGGCCUCUAGCCAUGAAUCACUAACUCUCCCUCGCUUGGGGUCCUGACCCGCACUAGCUGCUGCGCGCAAUCUAUCACCGCCCCAUUAGGGCUCAACCAAUCCAUGCCAAUAAUCACCUUGUUCCCGUGCAACGCAAUGGGAACCAAGUCUACCAAGUAACGCUCCUCAAACAAACGCAGAACGCAAUUUCGAAACACCAUCGAUGCUCGCACUGAUCGAUCAUCAGCAAUCUCUACCUCUAAAGGGCAAUCCAACUCGACCGAAGUCUCAUGAAACUUCUUGCUAAGUGCAAGAGAAACAAACGAUCGGGAUGCACCCAAAUCGAACAAUACCUGUACUAGAAUGUCGUUCACAUGGAACGAUCCUAAUGCAUACAUAUACAUACGGAGCACAUAUCAAUAUCAUAACAUCAUAAAAUAAAAAAAAUAGAGGGAAAGAAUCAUACCCGUCACCACAUCGGGUGCGGCGCGUGCUCCCUCAGUAGUCAACUGGAAUGCUCGGCUCCUCACCACCGGAGCCUCUGCCUUGCCCUGCCGGCCAUCCGUGAUCCGCAGGGUCGCUGGAGCUGGCGCCUUCACCGGCGCUGAAACUGUCAACUGGGGGCAAUUGGCCUUCUUGUGGCCCCUCUGGUUGCAGUGGAAACACAGCAACUCUGAUGUCUGAAUAACUGCUGCCGGAGCAGUGCAAUCCCUGCUGAUGUGCCCAGACUUGCCGCACUUGUAGCAGCCUGAUGAUCCCAUCCUGCACGCCCCCUCAUGCGGCCUGCCGCAUUUCCUGCAGCGGCUCGGUCCUGACUGGCCUUUCGGCCUACCAUCUGAUCCCUUGGGCUUCUUCCCCGAAGCCCCUCCUGCCUGUCCCUCCUCUAAUUUCCGUUUCCGGAUGUGCUCCAAAUCUAUCUCCCUCUCCCUCGCCCUGGCAAUCAUAGAGUCCAAGGUAGGGCAAGCCGAAAAGCUAACAUGCUCCCGGAUGUCAGCUCGUAGCAUAUCAUGAUAACGAGUCCUCCUCAUGUCCUCGUCACCAGCAUACUGGGGCACCAACAAAGCCCUCUCCCGGAACUUGGCGGUGAUCUCCGCCACAGUCUCCGUCGUCUGUCUCAUGUCUAGAAACUCCCUGGCCAGCUGCUGAAGCUCGACAGCCGGCGCAAACUCUGCCCUGAACCUGGUCACAAAGUCCGACCAGGUCAUAGCCUCGAUAGCUGAGGCUCCCAACGAGUCACCCACUGACUCCCACCAAUCCCGGGCUCGGUCCCGUAAACACCCUGCUGCAUACCUCACCUUCGACCCCUCGGGGCAGAAGCUAGUCAACUGUGCAGACUCGAUGUCUGCAAUCCAUCGCCUGGCAGCAAUGGGGUCUUUCACCCCAUGGAAAUCCGGCGCACCACUGCCCCUGAAGUCCUUGAAGGACAGUGUGCGAGAUCCUGACUGGCUAGAUGCCAUAUCACUCCUGAAUGCCCGAAGGCGAUCCUCCAUCAACUCCAUGAUCCCUUCCUUGAUCGACCCAAAGAGAAUGGGGGUCGACUCAAGGAUGCCUCUGGUGAUCUCUGACGCGAUGAACUCGCGUAGUCCCUCAUCAACCGGCUCGGAACCUGAUCCCGAACCUGACCCCUCUCCUGAACCGCCAUCUACCGGCCUCGAUCGAAGUACCACCAUUCUGCAAUACAUCACAACAAUCAUUAGAGAUACUGAUACUUCCUGAGGGAUCACAACUACUUACAAGUUCCCUGGUCUUGUCUUGGCCUUCCUUGGUUCGGGUACGGAUCCUCUGCUUUCAGUAGUAUGGGCCCAUACUACCUUCCACAUCUAUCCGUACCUUCUUCAAGGACUGCCUCGACUCCACCAGGUCCCUUUCACUAAGGUUGAUCACUACUAUACCCAUCCCAGGCUCGCCCUGGGGAAAUCUCCGGCUCUACUUGAUCCAGUCCUCAGCUGCUGCAGGCCUCCUUGUAAUGCCAGUUAGCCAUUACCCGAAUACCAUCACACGUGACGAGGCUCAGAUAAUCCUUCGAGUACCCGACUCAUCCCUACAACGGUUGGACUCAAACAAGAGCUGCGCAGUAGGAUCAAAUCCGGUACUCUAAGAUUAUUCAACCCUGAUCACAUGUGACGUGACGUAUUCGCCUAAUGACUAAUUCCCAUUAUUCGGAGUCUCACAUAGCACGAAGCAAGCAGCAUUCAGACAAGGGUAACAAUCUCAAUCGACUCUGUCUGCUUACAGAAACUGCACUAGCAUAAAGUGCUAAGCUCCUACUAUCAGGCAUAACCUAGUCAGGCUAUCCGCUGUCUACUCAAUAACUAGCAUGCAAUUUUCAUUCAACCGGAACAUAUAAAGCAGGCACAUAAGGCAUCACUCCUAGAUCCUUAGUCCUAUUCUAGCAUGCUGUUCUACAAAAGCUGAUAAACAUAACAUAAACUUGUAUGGGUACUUUGGGGAAUACUUACUUGAGCUCGGCCGGUCGCGCACAUCACACACUUCGUUCUUUCUUAAACUCUUUUCUCAAUUUUAGAAAACAUUUUCUUUUAGAAAUCUUUUAAUCCCUCGAUUUGAGUUCAGACACCUACGAAGGUGAGUCCGAAUCCCUCAAACCAGGGCUCUGAUACCAACUUGUAACGACCCAAUUUUAACGUCCAAAAAUUUCGUUUUUAAAACAAUUCUUUAGUAAACAUUAAUAAUUAAAAACGUUGUUUGAUCAAACCAUAUCACGACAUAAUCAUGUCUAAAAGCCAAAUCAUACAACCAAUCGAAAUAUCAGACUACAAUCCCAGAAGAUCUAGUAAAUGCGGAAACCAGAGUGUGUGCAUGAUGUGCCGCUACCGCGCCAGCUCCUUCCCUUUCGAUGAAGAGGUACCUGAAACCAAAACUAUAAAACGUAAUCACAAAGCUUAGUGAGUUCCCCCACUGUACCACAUAACAUACAUACUGCCAGGCUAUUCUGGGGUGCCUGACUACCCGGUACGGCCAUUCUGGGGUGCCGUCCUACCCGUGUCAAGCCAUUCUGGGGUGCUGACUACCCAUGUCAAGCCAUUCUGGGGUGCUGACUACCCAUCGGUCCUAACAACCGAUCCUCGGGGACUAGUCCCCUCCUACUACCUCUAUCGCAUAUAACAUAACAAGCCAGCAUGCAAACAUAUCAUCACGUACUGUCAGACAUUUCUGGGGUGUCUGAACUACCCUUCGGUCCUAUCAACCGAUCUCUACUUCUAUCUCAUAUAACAUAUCAUGCUAGCAUAUAACAUAUCAGGUAGUAGCAAACCUAGAUGAUAUCACAAAGACAAUCAUCUAACAUACAACUCCUACUGGUGGGCCGGCAUUGUGGCCGUAGACCCACCGCUACUGGAAGGUAACUCACCUCGAAGUAGCUGCUGAUCUGAUCGGGAACUGACUGUCUACUGCUACUGCUGCUGCUCCGGAAAUCCUCCGGCUGCAAUUCCCACAACAUACUCAAUCAAACACUGCUAACUGUCCUUUGGGUAAAAUGACCAUUUUACCCCUGAUCAUGCCCUAAGUCAAAGUCAGAGUCAACUUUCAGUUGACCCGACUCGCCGAGUUGGCUUUCCAACUCGCCGAGUCCCUACCCAAACGAUUGUCCUGAAUCCCGUUUCUACUCGUCGAGUUAGGCGACGACUCGACGAGUUCUCCUUCUAAACUGAUAUUCAAGUCCUUCAUCCUACUCGCCGAGUUGUAUGAACAACUCGUCGAGUUCAUCUUCAUCCGAUGAACACUUAUGCUAAGACUCGCCGAGUUGUAUGAACAACUCGCCGAGUCUGUUCUUGAUCUAAGGAGAUUGCCUUGAACUCGCCGAGUCAGGGCAUUGACUCGCCGAGUACCUCCAUAGAUGAGUUCAGCUUCCGACUCACUGAGUCACACCCCGUGACUCACUGCACACUCGACACUACGAAAAGGGGACAAACUCGGAGACUCGCGAGCAGACUCGCCGAGUCACAUGAACGACUCGCCGAGUCGUUGCCAUGCACCCACUAAAUACACAGAUUUGCUCGAUUCCAGUCCAUGCCAUUCACAGAUCUGGACUCCUAGAACACGAAUCACACGUAAAGUUUCCAACUUUACGUGUAGAUAUUCACCCUUAAGGGUUUUAGGGUUCAAAAUGUACCCAAGAGGGUAGAUCUAGGGUCUUCAUGCAAUGGGGGUCCAUAAAGGCAACAUAUCUGAGCUCCUGGAGCUCAACCAUGCCUAGAUCUAAGGGCCAAUCAACCUAUUACAAAAUAAUUUGCACAUACAAACUUGGGGAUUGGCUCAAGAAUGACUUAAAUGAAGUAAUAAGCAUAAAAACAGGGGAAAACGGAUCAUACCUCAAAGGAACUGCUGAAGGAGUACAAAGAUGCCUGGAUUCCUUCCCUUCCUCUAAAUCUACUUCCCCUUUUGCCUCAAAACCUUCAAGAACACACAACAAUUGCCUCAAACUCUCAAUGAACAAGCUUAGAACGAGGGUUGGGAGCUCUGGGGGUGAAUGGGGGCUGGCCUGGGGCGGAUAUGUUGUUUAAAUAGGGUGCAAACCCCUGAAACUUAGGGUUUCAUCCAACAGCGGUGACUCGCCGAGUCCAGAAUAUGGACUCGCCGAGUCGCCAACUUAAACAUGUCCCGGGUCUCGACCUUACUCGGUGAGUCGGACCUAUGACUCGCCGAGUCCAAGGCAAAAGAAGGAGAAUACUCAAAUAAGAUUUACGUACCAGGAACCAGGUGCUACAAAGUAGGUGUUAGAUAUGCAUGCUGGUUGGAUAUGCGAGUUUGGUAGGCUUGUAGGACUACCUGUGGUAUUAUUGAUUAUUGGUAUGUGCAUUUAUCUGUUACAUGUUGACAUUUUAUGUGGGAUGGGUCGAGGUUGUAAUGCUCCUUGUGGUAGCCAACAAACCCUAGGAGCAUUCCAGAUACGAGUUGUGGGCCCGGUAGGCAAUCCAGACUCGUACCGUGGGCUCCGGGGCAUUCCAGAUACGACUUGUGGGCCCGAUAGGCAAUCCAGACUCAUAUUAUGGGCCUAGGGAUAAUCCUGUUGGAUAAGGUGUCUAAGUCCAUAACUAUAUUUGGUAUGUACUUGACCCGACCCGGCAUAGUCCAUUUAGGUUGCAUGGCAUCAUGCAUUUGGAUAGACUAAAUGAGAGAAAUAACACUUGUGGUUUAUUAAUAUAUUAUAAGUUCUAAUAUAUUAAUAGUAUUAUUUAUUAGUAUUGAUCAAGAAUUAAUUUGGAAUUAAUUAAGUGAUCAAAAGAUGACUAAUUAAAUAUAUGGGUUGAUUUUGUAAAUCAUACAUAACUUAUAUAGUGGGCUAAAAGGCUCCAUGGAUUAUCAAGUUGGGUUAAACUCAUAGAACGCUCCAUGGAUGCUCCAUGGGAGUUCAAACCCAUGGGUCAUGGAAAUGAAGAGUCAUGACACAUUAGGGUUUANCAUGGUGUACCUAGAUGUGACACACUAUAUAAGGAACAUGAUACUCACAAAAUCGUGUACAUACUAAGAACAAGAGAGGGCAAGCCGAUUUUACAAGUGUUAGACAUUCUCUCAAAGUUAUUCCAAAGCAUUUGGUGUUGUGUGAAUCAUUUGAGGCAUCACACUUGGGGUGCUAUGCUCUCAAGGUUUUCAAGGAAUCAAAUCAACUACAAGGUAUGUAAUUCUAGCCAUCUUUUAGUUUAAAAGUUCUCAUGUAGGCUAGAUAGGAUUAUGAACCUUGGAAAUCAUAUUUUACAUGUAUUUUAGACAAACGUAGAUCCAAGGUUUUCUAGGGUUACUUGUACUCUUAGGAGUGUUCGAAUGUUCAAAACCCAUCAGUGGUAUCAGAGCUUAGGCUUGUUUGUUAAAUACUUGAUGCAAACUUGUUUUUCAAAAGCCGAAAAUUGUCCAGACAAGAAAACUCGGUGAGUUCUGGCUAAAAACUCGCCAAGUUUAUGUGUUAUUGCAUGAACUCGACGAGUUUGUCAUCCAGUGAGCAGUUUUUGGAGCUUUUCUGCUGGAAAUGGACUAGAAACAUUACCCUAAACUGUUUUAGUGUUAUAAAACUUGUUUUAGAUUCUUUAAUGGUUAUGCUAAUCCAUUUUCAAUAGCAAUUAUCAAAAUUUCAAGUUUCAUAUGGUUAAUUUUAUGAUUCUUGAAAUUGUAGAUAUGCAUGUUCAUGAACUUAUGAGUUUAGAAGAUCAUAGGAAUUAUUUGUAACUUGCAUGUUAGUUUAAUUCUUGAUCAUUAUGUGUUUUAAUGGAAUCCAUAAUUUGUCCUCAAGUUAUGGAUUACCAAAAGUCACACUUUUAAAGUCCAUUAUUAAACACAUAGGUUACAUAAAAUGUAAAGUGUCUCAUUUUAUUAAUCCAUUAACUCAUAAGUUAUUAGAGAUGAAAAAUUUUGAAAGUUACAAAACUUUCCCUCAAGUUUUGGAACAUGUAAAGUCAUUUUAAAAACUUUAAGUUCCAACCCCUAGAAAAUUAAAAAGUUAAAAAUUCAACCCUUAUACAUUAUAAUAUUACAAGUUUAAUAAUUAUUAUAUAUGUAUAAGAACAAAGUCAUUUUACCAUUAGUAGGCCUCAUUCACGUGGCCGGUCUAUAAGGGGGUAUAAGGUUGCUGCCUAUAAAAUGGCAGCUUAAUGGGUGUCCACUCUCACCCACCACUUCCUUGAUCAGUGGAGGAUCGUUAGCUGAACGGGUAGGACAAGGACUUAUAAAUUCUCAUUAAAAGUAUGAUGAAUAUUAUAAAGUAACUAAAUGUUUUAUUAAUUUCCCAAUCUUAGUUACUUUAGGAAAAUGUGAAUAAGGUGCUAAUCCAUGAAAUUACACUUUACACUUUGUUUAAUUCAUUAGUGGAGCGUGUGUGGUUAACCGGCACACUAACUUGAACUUAACAAGGUAGGUAAAGGGUAACUUAAGGUUUAUUAUAGGUCGGUGGAGCGCUUGUGGUUAACCGGCACAUCGAUUGAAUGAUAAACUUUAAGGGUACCAAGUAAUUUGCAUGGUUACUUCACACCUCGUUUUGUGAUCCUCGGUAUCCCAGUCACAAAACUUGGGGGGGACACUCGACAUUGAAACAUGCCUUUGAAAAGUUCAUUGAAUCUCAAAAAGAAUCUAGGAAUUUCUAAGAUCCAAUUAAAACCUAAUAACUUAUAUUUCGGUUUUUGGUGGAAAUUGGUGAAUCGUCAUUCACCAACCUUUCAAAUAUGUUAUAGCUUAGAUUACGACAUACUUCUUCUAAGUUAUGAUAUAUUCUGAUUGGAUCCUAACCUUAAUAUUACAUUUGGGUGUUUUAUUAAGGACUAUCUUUAUAUCUAAACUAAACUUGUUCUCUUCUUUUUUAGAUGUCUUCCAACAACACUGCUUCUGGCUCAAACCCUACUGGCUCCUUGUCCCUCAUGAACAUAUAUGGGAGGGUCAUCUUCGAUGGUUCCAACUUUAUGGAUUGGAUCUGGAACAUCGGGAUAGUAACUCGCUAUGAGGACAAGGAAUAUGUCCUCGAUAAGGAGCUAAAGGAGAUCGAUGAGUCCACUGCUACUCCCCAGGCGAUCGCUGACUUCCGGACUCAUGAAAAAGAUGCCACCAAAGUGGCAUGCAUCAUGAUGGCCACCAUGAUAGUUGAACUCCAGAAGUCCUAUGAGGACUACUACCCUUUUGAGAUGCACCAAUAAAUGAUGGAAAUAUACCAUGAGGAAUAGGAAAGCUUCACCUGUCACCAAGAUUGGAGUUUAUUCAUUGUUGCUAAGUAGUGGGUUUACUUUAGAUUUGAAUAAAUGUUGUUAUUCGCCAGAAAUGGCAAGAAAUAUUAUUUCCUUUCAUGCUUUGUACAAACAAGGCUUUACCUUUUCUUUUGAUAAUGAAAUUGGUGGAAUAAAUGCUUUCUUUAAUAAUGUUCUUUAUUUUAAAGCAUUACCUUGUGAUCGUGUAUAUGAAGUUGUAUCUGUUGUAGAUAAUCUAGGAAAUAAUGUGUUGUGUAUUGAUUCUUAUGAUAAUAAUAACUUGGAUAAAGCAUAAUUAUGGCAUUGUCGUCUUGGACAUGUGAGCAAGAAACGCAUAGGCCAACUACAAAAGGAUGGAGUCUUGGAGCCAUUUGACCUAAAGUCAGAUGAUAGUUGGGAACCAUGCUUACUUGGAAAAAUAACAAAGUCACCCUUCACUGGUUCUUGUGCUAGGGGUGAAGGUUUGUUGGAUCUAGUGCACACGGAUAUAUGUGGACCCUUCAAAUCUGCCGCAAGGGAUGCUAAUCGUUAUUAUUUAAAUUUUACUGAUGAUUAUAGUAGAUAUGGAUAUGUCUAUUUAAUCAAGCAUAAGUCAGAGACUUUUGAAAGGUUUAAUGAGUUUAAACAAGAAGUCGAGAAUCAAUUGGGCAGGAACAUUAAGAUGCUUCGAUCCGAUCAUGGUGGUGAGUGUCUUAGUACAGAGUUCUUCGACUAUCUUAAGGAAUGUGGGAUUAUCUCACAAUUGACACCUCCCAGGACACCAUAGUUGAAUGGUGUGGCUGAGAGGCGUAAUCGAACCUUGUUAGAUAUGGUUCAUUCCAUGAUGAGUCGAGCUUCUCUACCAAUCUCAUUUUGGGGGUAUGCCUUAGAAACUGCCGCCCAUAUCCUUAAUAUGGUCUCUACAAAGAAAGUUGCCAAAACUCCUCAUGAGAUGUGGACUGGUAAAGUUCCCAAACUAAACCACAUCAAUAUUUGGGGUUACGAGGCUUUCGUGAGGUGUCGAGACUCAUGAUAAGCUCGAACCUCAAAGUGAGAGGUGUAUUUCCAUCGGCUACCCACAGAAAUCCUUUGGUUACCUCUUCUACGGACCUAGUGACAACGUGGUCUUUGUAGCAAGCAGGGGUGUCUUGAGAGAGAGAGAGAGAGAGAGAGUUCAUAAGACAAGGAAAUAGUGGGAGGCAAAUUGACCUUGAAGAAAUUCAAGAGUCAAGUGGUGAAGGAACUUCAAAUCCUAGCACUCAACCUGAGGAGGAAACUCCUGUUGAGCCAAUUGACUAGUCUGUACCUCUAAGGCGUUCCACAAGGGUUAGGAAUGCACCUGAGCACUACUAUGGUUUCCAUAUUACUACGGAAGGUGAGACACUUAUCAGUGAAGAGACAUUGGUAAGUAUAGAUGAACCUAACAGUUACGCAGAAGCCAUGGCAGGCCCCGAGUCUGCCAAAUGGAAAGAGGCAAUGGACAGAGAGAUACAGUCCAUGUAUGACAAUCAAGUUUGGAACUUGGUUGACAAUGUUGGGUGCAAAUGGAUCUUCAAGAAGAAGAUCGACAUGGAUGGUAAUGUACACAGAUAUAAGGCGUGACUGGUUGGAAAGGGCUUUUCUCAAACUUCGGGAGUUGAUUAUGAUGAGACCUUUUCACCAGUUGCAAAGAUUAAGUCCAUUAGGGUUCUGUUAGCCAUAGCUGCAUUUCAUGAUUAUGAGAUAUGACAAAUAGAUGUCAAACCGCCUUCCUUAAUGGAAGUUUGGCUGAAGAUGUUUACAUGAGUCAGCCAGAGGGUUUUGUUAGUACAGAAUACCCUAAUAGAGUGUGUAAGCUUGAGAAAUCCAUUUAUGGAUUGAAACAGGCACCUCGGAGAUGGAAUCUUUGCUUUGAUGAGAAAGUCAAAGAAGUUUGCUUUUCAAAGAGUGAAGAUGAAUCUUGUGUCUAUGUCAAGGCUAGUCGGAGUAUAGUCAGCUUUUUGGUACUGUAUGUGGAUGACAUACAACUCAUAGGAAAUGACAUCCCAACCCUGUAGGAAGUGAAAUAUUGGCUUGGGAAGUGUUUCUCUAUGAAAGACCUAGGGGAAGCCGCCUAUAUUCUAGGGAUAAGGAUUCUAAGAGACCGGAGUAAAAGACUGAUUGGACUUAGUCAAAGUACCUACUUGGAUAAGGUGCCGAAGAGGUUCAGCAUGCAGGACUCCAAGAAAGGAGAGUUACCCAUCCAGAGUAACACUAGACUGAGUAAAACUCAGAGCCCGAGUAUUGAGGCUGAGAUAGCAGAAAUGAGUCGAGUACCUUAUGCUUCUGUAGAAGGUUCAAUCAUGUAUGUUAUGACCUGCACUCGACCUGAUGUAGCCUUUGCUUUGAGCAUGGUUAGCAGAUAUCAGGGGAACCUUGGCAAGGCUCACUGGACUGCGGUAAAUAAUAUCCUCAAGUACCUACGGAGGACUAAGGACUGGGUCCUUACCCUCGGUGGGAGUGACGACUUCAUAGUUGUAGGGUAUACUGAUGCUAGUUUUCAGACCAAUAGGGAUAAUUUCCGCACUCAGUCAGGCUGGGUCUUUACCUUAAAUGGAGGAGCAAUUACUUGGAAGAGUUCCAAGCAUGAGACAAUGGAUGAUUCAACUUGCGAAUCAGAGUAUAUAGCAGCAAGCGAGGCAGCAAAGGAGGCGAUAUGGCUGAAGAACUUCAUUGGAGACCUUGGAGUUGUACCAGCUAUAAAAGAGCCGAUGGAAAUUUUCUAUGAUAGUGAAAGUGUAGUUUCCUUAGCCAAGGAACCAAGGGAUCAUGGGAGAUCCAGACACAUCGACAGAAAAUAUCAUUUCAUUAUACAUUGAAUAGAAGAAGGACUCCUUGUGUCUAAGAGGGUAUCAUCAGAUGAGAACCCAUCAGAUCCCCUCACGAAUGGACUAGGUAGGGUUAAGCAUCUUCAGCAUGCGAGGCACAUUGGGCUAAAGGAUGAUAUUAGUUUUAGAAAUUAGAUAGCUUUUGAAAUUUGUAAAGUGUAAUUGACAUUUGAUGAUGAAUAAAAGGUGUUUUAUUUAUGAGUAAAGUGUUGCUAUCUCUUGUCAAUCGUUUACUAUAUUUCUUUUGCAUGUUUUGAUUUCCAGAAUAAUUAUGUUUGGUAUAUCAUAUUAUUCGAAUCUCCAUAGUCGAUCAUAUGUUGGAAGUAGGUAUGAAUCAAGAAUGUCAUGAGAUGGUUGCAGAGGUCUAAGUUGUUGGAAAUGGUUACAACACUCAUGAGUGCUCACAAGUUCUGAGCAUUGGAUUCAACCCACGCUCACUAAUAUCACUUCAUGGAAUUUAUCUCGAGUGAUCGUGAGACAGUAAUAUCAUAUAAGUCUUCAAACCUAGAGAUAUGACUUGUUGCCUAUGAGUUAGUUAUGCAUUGAUCGUACGAAACCACAUUGGUAACUCGAUGUUAUAAAACGUACUUUUGUGUGUAAUUCAAUGAGUGGUAGAACAAACAUAUGAGUCGAAGUUUAUCUGUUCCUUCUUGGAUUAGAAGCUGAUAUCUGGGCCCCUCGAUGAUUUUGUUUUGACCCAUGUACCGGGCCCGGUCAGAACUAAGUUGAUGUGUUCAAUUAAGUUCUAUGUCAAACAAAUCGGAAAUCGGGAAACAAAUNUUGUUCCAUGUAUUUGUUCGGCUGAUAUCUAGAACAGAGGAUUAUAUGAUUAAUUAUCUUAAAUGGCACAUCAUCAUCUUCUUAGUUCCGAGAGACCUUGAAAGAGCUACGAUUGCUGAUCGGUUCCUGAAGUCAUACUUACAGAUAUAGUU
Molecule: long non-coding RNA, 27598 nt
Filed under: Lactuca sativa (garden lettuce)
Lineage: Eukaryota; Viridiplantae; Streptophyta; Magnoliopsida; Asterales; Asteraceae
Description: long non-coding RNA (LSAT_LNC005791)
Source: RNAcentral